AAAUGCUUCCAAGUACCUCCAAGAGCUCCAAAGGACACUCCAACACCUGAUAAAGACUUAUGCAAUGCAAAAAGGAAACUAAAUUGCAUAAUCCAUAAUCUAAAUGAUCAAAACAUGCAAGAAUGAAGAGUUAAAACAAUGCAAAUGUGCAAGAUAUCAACUUCCCCAAACUUGUCUUUUACUUGUCCACAAGUGAACUUUCAAGAGCUCAUAGGAGAAGAGGUUUGAAGGUGGGAGCUCAUAGCCACAAGAAACACUUCCUAGCACUCAAUUUAACAUCCUAAAGAAAUAUAGCAAAU
This 299-nucleotide long non-coding RNA is filed under the name Brassica napus (rape). Its description in RNAcentral is "long non-coding RNA (BNAP_LNC011602)". Lineage: Eukaryota; Viridiplantae; Streptophyta; Magnoliopsida; Brassicales; Brassicaceae. The record is from RNAcentral.